RNAcentral lists this ribosomal RNA (492 nucleotides) under uncultured bacterium. Its description in RNAcentral is "partial 16S ribosomal RNA". It matches the Rfam family "Bacterial small subunit ribosomal RNA", at positions 29 to 507 of the family's 1533-position model. The record is from RNAcentral.
AGUGAACGCUGGCGGUAGGCCUAACACAUGCAAGUCGAACGGCAGCACAGUAAGAGCUUGCUCUUACGGGUGGCGAGUGGCGGACGGGUGCGGAAUACAUCGGAAUCUCCUUUUUCGUGGGGGAUAACGUAGGGAAACUUACGCUAAUACCGCAUACGACCUACGGGUGAAAGCAGGGGAUCUUCGGACCUUGCGCGAUUGAAUGAGCCGAUGUCGGAUUAGCUAGUUGGCGGGGUAACGGCCCACCAAGGCGACGAUCCGUAGCUGGUCUGAGAGGAUGAUCGGCGACACUGGGACAGAGACACGGUCCAGACUCCUACGGGAGGCAGCAGUGGGGAAUAUUGGACAAUGGGCGCAAGCCUGAUCCAGCCAUACCGCGUGGGUGAAGAAGGCCUUCGGGUUGUAAAGCCCUUUUGUUGGGAAAGAAAAGCAGCAGGUUAAUACCCCGCUGUUCUGACGGUACCCAAAGAAUAAGCACCGGCUAACUUCGUG